Molecule: ribosomal RNA, 817 nt
Filed under: Lactiplantibacillus plantarum
Lineage: Bacteria; Bacillati; Bacillota; Bacilli; Lactobacillales; Lactobacillaceae
Description: bacterial SSU rRNA
Rfam family: Bacterial small subunit ribosomal RNA
Source: RNAcentral
UGGGCGUAAGCGAGCGCAGGCGGUUUUUUAAGUCUGAUGUGAAAGCCUUCGGCUCAACCGAAGAAGUGCAUCGGAAACUGGGAAACUUGAGUGCAGAAGAGGACAGUGGAACUCCAUGUGUAGCGGUGAAAUGCGUAGAUAUAUGGAAGAACACCAGUGGCGAAGGCGGCUGUCUGGUCUGUAACUGACGCUGAGGCUCGAAAGUAUGGGUAGCAAACAGGAUUAGAUACCCUGGUAGUCCAUACCGUAAACGAUGAAUGCUAAGUGUUGGAGGGUUUCCGCCCUUCAGUGCUGCAGCUAACGCAUUAAGCAUUCCGCCUGGGGAGUACGGCCGCAAGGCUGAAACUCAAAGGAAUUGACGGGGGCCCGCACAAGCGGUGGAGCAUGUGGUUUAAUUCGAAGCUACGCGAAGAACCUUACCAGGUCUUGACAUACUAUGCAAAUCUAAGAGAUUAGACGUUCCCUUCGGGGACAUGGAUACAGGUGGUGCAUGGUUGUCGUCAGCUCGUGUCGUGAGAUGUUGGGUUAAGUCCCGCAACGAGCGCAACCCUUAUUAUCAGUUGCCAGCAUUAAGUUGGGCACUCUGGUGAGACUGCCGGUGACAAACCGGAGGAAGGUGGGGAUGACGUCAAAUCAUCAUGCCCCUUAUGACCUGGGCUACACACGUGCUACAAUGGAUGGUACAACGAGUUGCGAACUCGCGAGAGUAAGCUAAUCUCUUAAAGCCAUUCUCAGUUCGGAUUGUAGGCUGCAACUCGCCUACCUGAAGUCGGAAUCGCUAGUAAUCGCGGAUCAGCAUGCCGCGGUGAAUACGUUC